CCUACGGGAGGCUGCAGUGAGGAAUAUUGGUCACUGGGCGCGAGCCUGAACCCGCCAAGUCGCGUGAGGGAAGACGGUCCUAUGGAUUGUAAACCUCUUUUGUCGUGGAGCAAAAGACUCCACUCGUGGCGUUCCGAGAGUACCCGCAGAAACAGCAUCUGCUCACUCCGUGCCAGCAGCCGCGGUACUACGGAGGAUUCGAGCGUUAUCCUGAUUUCUUGGGUUUAAAGGGUGAGCAGGCGGAAGAUCAAGUCAGAGGUAAAAUUGAGAGGCUCAACCUCUUCGAGCCUUUGAAACUGGUUUUCUUGAGUGAGUGAGAAGUAUGCGGAAUGCGGGGGGUAGAGGGGAAAUGCAUAGAUAGCACGCAGAACUCCGAUUGCGAAGGCAGCAGACCGGCGCUCAACUGACGCUCAUGAACGAAAGUGUGGGUAUCGAACAGGAUUAGAUACCCGGGUAGUC
RNAcentral lists this ribosomal RNA (459 nucleotides) under uncultured bacterium. RNAcentral's name for it is "partial 16S ribosomal RNA". It matches the Rfam family "Bacterial small subunit ribosomal RNA", at positions 338 to 795 of the family's 1533-position model. The record is from RNAcentral.